Molecule: ribosomal RNA, 405 nt
Filed under: uncultured bacterium
Lineage: Bacteria
Description: bacterial SSU rRNA
Rfam family: Bacterial small subunit ribosomal RNA
Source: RNAcentral
UGAGGAAUAUUGCACAAUGGGCGAAAGCCUGAUGCAGCAACGCCGCGUGAGGGACGAAGGCCUUCGGGUCGUAAACCUCUUUUCUGAGGGAAGAGCAAGGACGGUACCUUGGGAAUAAGUCUCGGCUAACUACGUGCCAGCAGCCGCGGUAAAACGUAGGAGGCGAGCGUUAUCCGGAUUUACUGGGCGUAAAGCGCGCGCAGGCGGGUCUGUGAGUCGGACGUGAAAGCUCCUGGCUUAACUGGGAGAGGCCGUUCGAUACUGCAGGGCUUGAGGUUGGGAGAGGGGUGUGGAAUUCCCGGUGUAGUGGUGGAAUGCGUAGAUAUCGGGAGGAACACCUGUGGCGAAAGCGGCACCCUGGCCCACACCUGACGCUGAGGUGCGAAAGCGUGGGUAGCAAACAGG